CCUACGGGAGGCAGCAGUGAGGAAUAUUGGUCAAUGGGCGGAAGCCUGAACCAGCCAAGUAGCGUGCAGGAUGAAGGCCCUACGGGUUGUAAACUGCUUUUAUACGGGAAUAACGCGCCUUACGUGUAGGGCUUUGCAUGUAACGUAUGAAUAAGGACCGGCUAAUUACGUGCCAGCAGCCGCGGUAAUACGGAAGGGCCGGGCGUUAUCCGGAUGUAUUGGGGUUAAGGGGAGCGUAGGGCGCAUGUCAAGCGUGCUGUGAAAUGUCCGGGCUCAACCCGGGCCUUGCAGCGCGAACUGGCGUGCUUGAGUCCGCGGAGAGCAGGCGGAAGU
Molecule: ribosomal RNA, 333 nt
Filed under: uncultured bacterium
Lineage: Bacteria
Description: partial 16S ribosomal RNA
Rfam family: Bacterial small subunit ribosomal RNA
Source: RNAcentral